AUACACACCCAUAGUUGUUCGAGAAUCUGCAGCAAGUAUAACGCCAUCUUUAUAACGGAGCGCCGUGAUGGUGGUACCCAUACGAAUUUCUCUACAAAGUCAGAACUUUCAAAAUCAAUUUCCCGCAAUCAUACCCCUUUUUAAUAGCAUUAAUGUCAACAUUCAUAGUAUCUUUCACAGUAGUGGCCAUUUUCAGAAGUUUGGUGAAAGGUUAAAAUGAUUAGGGACUUGUGUAUGGUAUUGAGAAGCAGCCAAAAUUUAGGUAACAUUGCUACCUGCAUAUGAAAUUGCAGUAUGAAUAUAAAAAAUUGUUAUUCAAUUGUAAAAAGUGUUGAAAGAAUUCGUAUAUUUUUUAAGAAAUUCUUUAACGACUAUAGAUAAGGGUAUAGUAUUAAAAAUUUUUGAUCAAAAGUUACAGCCGACUACAGAGUUAUAACCAUGGAUUGAACUUGAAAGUGCUCAGCUAGAAAUUAACAUAGGAAAGAAUGAAAGAAUCUAAAAGUUUGGGACUAAAAAGGUUUCUGAAGAUUUUGUUUUCUUAAUAUUUGACGACUGCUUAUAUUUGGUUUACUUACGCAAAUAACAUGAAAAAAACCAUAGCUAUUGAAGAAUGAAAAUAAUAUGACCAUGAUCUUUUAACAAAAAAUGAAGAUAUUGGAAGUUCGACCUGGAAUGAUGUAUAUAUAUUUACGAGAAUUUCUUACGACGGAUCUUCUAAACUGUGAAUUAGGUAUCAUGUUAUGUUUCAUUUCUAGCGAAGCAGAAUUCCAAGCAAUAUUGAGGUGAUAGGGGAUGUUCCAAAUUCUGUUAAUCGCCAAAUUAAUUUUGGAAUUAAGGCAAGAAGCAUUUCAUUAACUACAGUGUAUUUUGCUUAUUUUAGUAAGGCAGUAUCCCAAAGACAACUGGCUUUCUAAAAAUCUCUUUUGUUUAGGUGUCUGUUAUUUCAACAAUAUGUACAUAUAUAUAUUUAUUUAUAAACUAUUUCAAACAUAUUCAAGCAAUUUAUUGCUUUUUAGAGCGAAUAUCGCCAUGGAUAGCUUAGCGUGAGCUUAAAACAUUGAAUUAAAAAAAUUUUCAUUGCCGUUCCAAAUUGUAUCGCUUUCGCUAAUGCUAUAAACACCCAAAGC
Non-coding RNA from Schizosaccharomyces pombe (fission yeast), 1127 nucleotides. The record is from the annotation of a GenBank genome assembly. Lineage: Eukaryota; Fungi; Ascomycota; Schizosaccharomycetes; Schizosaccharomycetales; Schizosaccharomycetaceae.